UACGUAGGGUGCGAGCGUUGUCCGGAAUUACUGGGCGUAAAGAGCUCGUAGGUGGUUUGUCGCGUCGUCUGUGAAAUUCCGGGGCUUAACCUCGGGCGUGCAGGCGAUACGGGCAAUACUUGAGUGCUGUAGGGGAGACUGGAAUUCCUGGUGUAGCGGUGAAAUGCGCAGAUAUCAGGAGGAACACCAAUGGCGAAGGCGGGUCUCUGGGCAGUUACUGACGCUGAGGAGCGAAAGCAUGGGUAGCGAACAGGAUUAGAUACCCCCGUA
RNAcentral lists this ribosomal RNA (270 nucleotides) under uncultured prokaryote. RNAcentral describes it as "partial 16S ribosomal RNA". It matches the Rfam family "Bacterial small subunit ribosomal RNA", at positions 524 to 792 of the family's 1533-position model. The record is from RNAcentral.